AAUUCUCAACCAUUUAUUUGGCUUGGAUGUGGGGGCUGGCUGGCUUCUUUGAGGUCAGCUCCCCUUAAAUGCAUUAGCUGGUGACCUGUGUGGACUUGUCUAUUGGUGUGAUAAUUAUCUACGCCGUGGAUGUCUGCAAUCAUAGCACUGCUUCUAACCGUCUGUUCAUUCGGACAAUACAUGACA
Molecule: unclassified non-coding RNA, 186 nt
Filed under: uncultured Hymenogaster
Lineage: Eukaryota; Fungi; Basidiomycota; Agaricomycetes; Agaricales; Hymenogastraceae
Description: sequence contains ITS2
Source: RNAcentral